AGCGAACGCUGGCGGCAGGCUUAACACAUGCAAGUCGAACGGGCACUUCGGUGCUAGUGGCAGACGGGUGAGUGACGCGUGGGAACGUGCCUUUCGGUUCGGAAUAGUCCAGGGAAACUUGGACUAAUACCGGAUACGCCCUUCGGGGAAGAUUUAUCGCCGAAAGUUCGGCCCGCGUCUGAUUAGCUAGUUGGUGAGGUAAAGGCUCACCAAGGCGACGAUCAGUAGCUGGUCUGAGAGGAUGAUCAGCCACACUGGGACUGAGACACGGCCCAGACUCUUACGGGAGGCAGCAGUGGGGAAUAUUGGACAAUGGGCGAAAGCCUGAUCCAGCCAUGCCGCGUGAGUGAUGAAGGCCUUAGGGUUGUAAAGCUCUUUUGUCCGGGAAGAUAAUGACUGUACCGGAAGAAUAAGCCCCGGCUAAACUUCGUGCCAGCAGCCGCGGUAAU
Molecule: ribosomal RNA, 449 nt
Filed under: uncultured bacterium
Lineage: Bacteria
Description: bacterial SSU rRNA
Rfam family: Bacterial small subunit ribosomal RNA
Source: RNAcentral